UACGGAGGGAGCUAGCGUUGUUCGGAAUUACUGGGCGUAAAGCGUACGUAGGCGGUUAUUCAAGUCAGAGGUGAAAGCCCGGGGCUCAACCCCGGAACUGCCUUUGAAACUAGGUAGCUAGAAUCUUGGAGAGGUCAGUGGAAUUCCGAGUGUAGAGGUGAAAUUCGUAGAUAUUGGGAAGAACACCAGUGGCGAAGGCGGCUAACUGGUCCGGUACUGACGCUGAGGUGCGAAAGCGUGGGGAGCAAACAGG
Molecule: ribosomal RNA, 253 nt
Filed under: uncultured bacterium
Lineage: Bacteria
Description: partial 16S ribosomal RNA
Rfam family: Bacterial small subunit ribosomal RNA
Source: RNAcentral